This is a long non-coding RNA of Pseudopipra pipra, 5621 nucleotides long. RefSeq lists it as uncharacterized. The record is from RefSeq and is a predicted model, not a curated record. The transcript is spliced from 2 exons. NCBI's taxonomy places the organism in Eukaryota, Metazoa, Chordata, Aves, Passeriformes, Pipridae.
UUUUUAUUUUUUAUAUAUUCUGUUCACGUUUUCGGGAGGACCUGGGGACCUAUCGGGAUUGACAGAGACAGCAGCCAAUGGAACGGUGAGGGAGGCGGUGCGAGUCGCGCUGUGACCAAUAGGAGAGCGAAGCGCAGUUCACGGCAUCCAAUGGGGAGGCGGCGGGGGCUGCUGUGCUUCUCUGCCCCUUCUCUCCCUGCUCUGCGCUCUCCCCUCCCGCUCGGGGCACGGCGGGGCAGGGCCAGUUCUCGGUUCCCGUCUCCGCAGUGCUGGUGGCCGCCGCGCCCCGCGUCCACCUGAAUCGCCGGACAACAACAUGACGGCCGCCUACGUUCGGGAAACGUGGCGCUCCCUUUGCAUGCACCGUACAACAAAAUGGCGGCCUCCAGGGCUCACCCCUCUCUCCGUAAAGGCUGUCUAAGGCGGUCCAGCCCUUCCCACCCACCCCGUGGCCGAGUGGGUCAAGUCUCACCGGGGAACAAUUCUGCUAGGAACACAUGGGUUUGAAUCCCAGCUGAAACAGCUUUAAAAAGAAACUGCACUGGAGUAAAAGAAAGUGCGUUAAAAUGCCACAAAGUGGCAGCAACACCAUCCUUGAUGAUAGAGCCAAGAAAGAAUUACAACUAGAAGUUUCAUCUCCUGGCUGAGCGAGCUUUAUUUGCUGCCAGUUCCAGUUAAGAGAACAUGCAAAGCUUAGGAAAUAAGUACAGAUGUGGUAAAAGUGGAUAGCAAAAAAUUUAAGUAGAGCAUCUGGAAUAGAGAACUUGGUUUUGCAAAACUGCACUGCAGUGAUGCUGAAUAUAGUUUUAAAAGCAGUUGUGGCCUCAAUGAAGAUAGAAAGCCCCACUUAACUGUGGAGCAGUCUGGAGUUAAGGAUUUUCCAGGCAUUUGUUCUAAUUAAUCUUGAAUGGGUUAAUUGGCUGAAUUUUUAUCGCCUGUUGACAACUUGUUUGUAAAAUGAAUCUGUGUCAUUCCACGCGGGAGCUGUGGUCCCGUCACACGGGAUCAGCUGAGCAUCCUGCAGCUGUCUCAACAGGCAGAGGGAACACACAGACAGCAAGCUUGUUUCCAGCUACUAGAAGAGAUGGAAUCACUCCAGGAAUCAAAUGUUGUUGCAAGUGGAGGUAAGAUACAGAACCGAGGUCCUGCAGCCAGGAUGCACAAAGGCACUCCUGAUUUUAGGUGAGUGCAGAAAAAAGUUCAGGGCAGAAAAACGAUCUCAUAAAAUCUCCUGGUGCUUCAGUAGCCUUAGAGCUGCUGGACUGUCUCUAACACUGUUGCUUGCACUGGAAUGCAGUGGGGUGGAGCACAGAGAAACAGGCUGUUCACCCGAGUGCUGGUUUCAGCACCUGCUGCCAGUCCUGCGGGCAGCAGUUGUGCUUUCAUUUACCUUCCCAUUGCUCUAAAAGAAAGGAGUGCCUUACCAGAUCACAGGCAAGAGAAGUUCCUUGGUUUUGAUGAACAAACUGCUUCUGACAUGUCCAGUCUGCCCUCCGUUUGUAGUGUGUUAACCCUAAAAGGGUUAACAACACUGGCACUGCAAUAACUGCCCCCUAAUCCCACCGCAUCUGAAGGAAGACUCCGGAGACAGGCAGGGAUCCCUCCCUCGCCUGGCUGGGAUCAUUGUUGCUUCCUGCCUCCCGCUGCUUCUCCCGUGCAGCUUUCCGAGGCCGCUGCUUGAUGCCUGUUGGUUGUGCUGAUAAACACAGGGUGUGAGCAGAGCUCUCUGCCCGCGCGGGCUCGGUUACCCGCAGGGCUGCAUCCCCCUCUGCAGGCAGGCGUUCCAGUGGAAUCAUUGUCUCAGCCGGUGUUUAAACAGGAGGGAAGUUUGCAGUCUUCCUGAUGGGACUACGAGUGCAUGUAUGUAUUUUGUUUACAUUUUAAAGUAUUCAAGUAUCACAUGUCGCCUUCUAAGAUACUCACAGCCAAGUAUUUUAGCAGGAUGUCAAAUCCAAAGAGUUUUGCUGCAAGCAUGGCUCUAUUAGGAAUGAUGAUGCCAUUGGGGAAGAGCAGUACUAAAAAGGAUUUGAAGCUGUGAAAGUAUAACCAAAUGACCACAAUUCCCUUUGAAUGGAAAUAAUAUGGUGUGAAUUUACAAUUCUUUUGAAAGGAGGUAUUUUACAAAAAUUGAAACAAACAUUAAUCCAUGCAAGGUCCUUGCAUCAUUGUGGCAUUAUUGAUCAGGAAAAAAAAACAAAAACAAUAAGAAAUUACUAUUUCAGCGUAGCGAUCAGAAAUAUAACUUAAAGGAAAAUCUUUGCCUUUGUGCCAAUCUUCCAUUCAUAGAACUGUUCAGAUUAAACUCUCCAUAAGACACAGCUGCCCUUGGCAGUGGUAUGGUUUGGGAGGUUUCUGUCCAAGUCCCGAGGUGAGGAGCAGCACUGUGUGUGAGGGUGCCUGUGGGGCCGCAGGGCAGCGGAGAUGGGGAGGUGGCGUGUCCCAGAAGGUGGGGUGGGUGGCAGCAGGGCGGCUUGUAAGCAGUGGCUGCACCCACGUGAUUGGAGAUACACGGCCAAGAGGGCUGGUCAAAAGUGGUCCGAAGUCUGACUGUGCUCCUCCCAAAAGCACAUGACAUCAGUAAAAUCAGUGGGCCACAAACUCAUGUGAUUAACUGUGACCACACCUGAUUCAUCCAAAAUGAGUUUUAAAUUGCAUUUAAAGGAUGUACUAACAGGCAUCUUUGGGUUUACAGUUUUCAAGGGAGAGAUCAAGGCUUUUACAUGCAGGAAAAGGUCAUUAACAUCAGCAGAGACAAUUCCACACUUGGGAUCAGAUGUGUAUCAUCCUUAGAUGCAAUGAUUUCCUGGCCCUGAAUGUUCACAAACUUCAGUAUUGCAAAUGCAGGGGCUGCUCUGUCCCUCAGCAUGGACCAGGGAGGGUAUUCCUUUGUCAUCAUUAUCCCAUUGCCAGUACUGGAAGAAGCAAAAUGAGUUUGCCAGUGUUAAAUCACAACAGCUUUAUGUGCAGGUAGGUAGUUACAGUUUGUCACCAAAGUAAUCCUGCAUUUUUAUUUUUUUUUUAAUAAUUUUACAUCAUUGUUACAUUUCCAGCAGUAGUGUCUCUAAAAACAGCUCCACACAAAAUAUUUGUAGCUCUGGUGCCAUCUAAGAUUAAAAAUGUGGACACCACUGUACAGCAACAGGGUUGUUCCUUGUAAACCUGCUUUGCAGUUUUCAUGCCAGUCCUUAAGGAUUCACCUCCAAAGGCCUGAGCACGGGUGUUGGGGCAGAGCUGCACAUUGAAAUACGACUGAGAUGUCUGUCUUGGGAUCCUGUUCAGACCUACUUACAGCCACAGGGUGACAGCAGAGCUCCUCCCACACGGUACAGAAUCCCAGUGCCUUUGCUGUCACCUGAUUUCCCUCUGGACACUUCUCCCUUUGGUGCCUGGUAGGUGACUACAGUCAGUGUGCUCCAGAUGUGCAUUACUCACAUGUUGCCCUCAAGGGUGCUCCCACUGUCCCACCAAGAGGAGAAAUGUAGCACUGCCAGGCUACUUUGUUUCACAGUCAGUGUCACUUCGUAGAAAACUUGGGGGGUUUUUGUUAGCCAGACACCCAUAGAAAAACCCAUCUGGUCCCAGAGAGAGAACCUGCUUCCCUUCUUUCCACCCCUCCUAAUCAAGUUAAGAGCCACAAGAGUAACCACAGCCUUGCAAGGCAGGUAGCAGGGUGGUACAACUCGCAGCUGUAACACAGGGUUUUCUCUGCUGUCAAAAGCCUUCUGUUGAGAAUUAUACACUGCAGAAACCAAAAAAUGCUCCAUGUUGUAAUGUUUCCCAGCAAUAGCAUGCUCCAGUCAUACUACAAACGAGGUCCUUUGAAGUACAAAUGUUUAUUGCAAUGUUUCAUUAUUUACAGUACCAUUCACUGUGUCCCUGGGUGCUACCAAAGUGCAAGCCAUUUUGGACAGGACAGCUAAACCAUGGUAAUUCAGCAGCAAAGCAUGACUGCACCUUACGCUCAUGCUGUCCUGCCUCUUCCUCAGGCCUGAAUGCAGAGAAGUUUGCUGCUCUCCCAGGUCACUUGGAACAACCUGGUAAUGUGAAACUUUGGUCACAAAGGAUUGUCAGUUGCUGGUUUUUCAAGGUGAUGCAGGAACAAGAAUCAGCAAUCUUUCCAGCUGGACUUUACUCGGAAUUCAGAGUUUCUGAUUGCCUAACGAGAUGUGUUUGUAUGCAGGACUGUCAAAUUCCUAUUUCAAUUUUUUAUGUAAGUACUGGUUUAUUCCCAAUUGUUUUUUUUCUGAUUCUCUUUGGUUUAUGUAAGCUUUUCAUCAUCUACCUGUUUUGAGGCUAUCUACCUACUUUCUUAAAAGAGCCAGUACCUCGAGAAUUACCAGUUGCUACUGGAUACUGAUACUGGUUGUGUCAUCUCCUAGAGUUGCAUUUAAAGGUCUUUACUGCAAAUUUUAUUAUGCACUUCCACUUCAUAUAAAAAUGGUAUUGCAGUGGCUAAACUCAGGGCAAGAAUCUUUUCUGUUUUCUAACACGUGUAUUAGCUCAAGAAAGUAGUUUGAAAGACAGUUCAGACUGAGUUCCACUGCUGCCAGCAGUCCCUUGGGAGGCAGGCAGUGAACUUCUCUGCCUCAGUUAUUUUAUUUUGCACCAGGGAUGUCAUUACCUUCUAAAAUUUGAGAUGCCUUGUGUUACAAAGCUCUUGUACAAUUAGGAAAUGUUUAAGACUUCAUUCCAGAAAAUAAGUUAUAUUAAAUGGCACUCAAGUCCUCCAGGAAACAUGUAGCAGGGCUGUUGGGUGAAGUUCAGCAGUAACAAUUUCUGCCUUCUCCCCAUGCCUGCUUUACAGUUCCUGUAAUAAUGAGUCCCUGCAACAGCUGCCUCAAAUGAUUCUGAAAUUACAGCUCCUCAAAAAGGGGAUGAUUGCAGCUCUUGUGACUCCCGUGAGUCACACUUUUAUUCCAUGUUAUCACAGGCUUUUCUGUAUCACUAUUGAUAAAAAGUCACCAAAAGCUUUACAGCUGCAGAAGGUACCAUUUUCACAAAGAAAAUGUACUAGAUUGAUUUCUUAACCUACCAUACAAAACACAGUGUUUAAAAGCUCUGCAGUGCUUCCCUAUUAUCAUUCCUUUGGAAUUUGGAGGAGGCGGCAGAGCUCACAUGCAGUCAACAACGUUGCUGGAUCCUUGGCCCACAUCCCGGAUCUGGCUGCUGAGACAGGAGCACACGGCCACGCCUGCCCCUGCCCGGCAGUGUGACACCGAGCCCACGAGCUCCCACCUACGGAACGUGGCAGAGGGAAAAAAGAAAAGUCAGUUCCUGUCCUUUCUGAGCAAUCUGAAAGUAUUUAUUUUCUGUGUCCGAAAUUCUUUUACACAGCCUAGCUGUUUGCCCUGCACAAAAAUGCACCCCAGUGGCUUAUUAUUUCUCUGUAGAUUGUUACUGAAUGAACAAGGGAUGCAGAGGAGGCAGAGGAGGGAGGAGGUGCUUAAAUAUUUACAAGAAAAACCUAGUGGCAUAGGCAGCAGUCCUAUAUUGACAGUCAUGGAUAUUACUCAAUUAUUACCAGGAAACAACAGCUAGACUCCUGCUGCACGCUGUCAUGUUGUGUUUUCAUAUAGGCAGACUUCAUUGUCUUACUAAGCCAAAUAAAACAUUUAAAAUUA